UACGUAGGGGGCAAGCGUUGUCCGGAUUUAUUGGGCGUAAAGAGCGUGUAGGCGGCCAGAUAGGUCAGCUGUGAAAACUCGAGGCUCAACCUCGAGAUGUCGGCUGAAACCAUCUGGCUAGAGUCCGGAAGAGGAGAAUGGAAUUCCCGGUGUAGCGGUGAAAUGCGCAGAUAUCGGGAAGAACACCCGUGGCGAAGGCGGUUCUCUGGGACGGUACUGACGCUGAGACGCGAAGGCUAGGGGAGCAAACAGG
RNAcentral lists this ribosomal RNA (253 nucleotides) under uncultured bacterium. RNAcentral's name for it is "partial 16S ribosomal RNA". It matches the Rfam family "Bacterial small subunit ribosomal RNA", at positions 524 to 776 of the family's 1533-position model. The record is from RNAcentral.